Non-coding RNA from Lysinibacillus sp. F5, 252 nucleotides. The record is from Rfam. Lineage: Bacteria; Bacillati; Bacillota; Bacilli; Caryophanales; Bacillaceae.
ACAAAGGCUAUGAAAAGAAAUAGUAUCAAUUAUUUUUACGAACAGAAAGUUACCGGUUGAUGAGAGGUGCAUGUAAAACGAUUGGGAAUUCAUCUUGGAGCUGCGUACCGAAAAGAUUAUUCUAAGUAGGCUACGUCGGUAAGCACCCGUAAUCAUGUGCGAGAGUAUCGUCAAAUGACCGUACUUCUUAAGGUAAGUAAUGUGAAUUGCUUAUAAAUUAAAGGUGGUAACACGAGUUGAAUCGUCCUUUUG